RNAcentral lists this small nuclear RNA (284 nucleotides) under Heterocephalus glaber (naked mole-rat). RNAcentral describes it as "7SK RNA". It matches the Rfam family "7SK RNA". From Rfam's summary of the family: 7SK was discovered as an abundant small nuclear RNA in the mid-70s but a possible function has only recently been suggested. Two independent studies have found that 7SK RNA binds the CDK9/cyclin T complex (known as elongation factor P-TEFb). Lineage: Eukaryota; Metazoa; Chordata; Mammalia; Rodentia; Bathyergidae. The record is from Rfam by way of RNAcentral.
AGAUAGGAGGCCUGCCUGGCUCCGACAUCUGUCAGCCCACUGAUCACUAGGGUUGAUUCAGCGAGCUGGCUGGCCAGGUGGGGGUCCACUUCCUCCCUCACCGCUCCGAGUGCAUCCCUCCCGAAGCUGCACCCUCUGUGGAGGAGGCAAGGCGACCACCCCGAUAGCGGAGGACUGCUUCCUUGGUCAAGGACACACGAGUGCUCCCCUGCUAGAACCUCCAAACAAGCGAGCGCUCAGAAACCCCAAGGGACAAGAAAGUACGCUAUGUACCAUACGCUGGU